Xiphophorus hellerii (green swordtail) is the source of this 798-nucleotide long non-coding RNA. RefSeq lists it as uncharacterized. The record is from RefSeq and is a predicted model, not a curated record. The transcript is spliced from 2 exons. NCBI's taxonomy places the organism in Eukaryota, Metazoa, Chordata, Actinopteri, Cyprinodontiformes, Poeciliidae.
GGGGAGCUGUGCUUAUGUUGUUUUUUUUUUAAUCCAAUGCCUGUGCGAAAGUUCUCAGAUGAGACUUCUCUCCUAUUGAUGCUGGGACGGGACACAGCUGGGACGGAAAUAGAGGAUGAGUCACUCUCUGUCUACAGAGAUUAAUCCGACUGUGCGUCUGUUUCUGUGAUAAGUGCGUCUGCAAGUUUGCGUGUGUUUUUCAACUCCCGUGUCUUCCCAGCUCUCAUAUAGCCCGAAGGUAGCAGGUCUGCACGGCAACACUCCUGGAAGAAGCUCCGAACUCAUCGUUACUCAAGCUAUAUCGUUGCGCAAGAUCUGUAAACCCAACCGCUCAGAGCUCAGCAGAAGAUAUUUUCCACAGUCUGGUCAUGCUAAGGAGUACACAAAUGAGCAGGCAGAUUAAUUGGAGGCCAGUCCUUCCUCACCAGAGGACAAUCUGGAUAUGUUAUCAGUAUGGACAAGUUAUAGUUUGAAAACUCUUAUUCAGACUUAAUUACGAUCAUUAAACUUCAGGUUAUACUACUGGCAACCAUGUAAGCCUAAAUGAAAGAUAUUGUUUCCAUUAUUAGUAUUACGCUAGCCUGCUAGCUUGUGAUUUUAAGAGGUUUUUACAGUAACAACAACGUAGACUUAGCUAUAAAACAGUAAAAAUACUUUAUUUAGUUAGCUGAAUUUUAAAUCUACUGAGCUUAGGAGCACAUAUAAUAACUCCAGUGCAGUGCUAGUUGUAAAAUAAGUGUUGUCAACAUGUGGUCUAAAUCAUAAUGAGAUAUAAAAGCAACAUCUGAGAAAUGUUCA